RNAcentral lists this ribosomal RNA (270 nucleotides) under uncultured archaeon. RNAcentral's name for it is "partial 16S ribosomal RNA". It matches the Rfam family "Archaeal small subunit ribosomal RNA", at positions 477 to 747 of the family's 1478-position model. The record is from RNAcentral.
CAGCUCUUCAAGUGGUCGGGACUAUUAUUGGGCUUAAAGUGUCCGUAGCCGGUAUAGUAAGUUCCUGGUUAAAUCGGAUAGCUUAACUAUCUGUUGGCUAGGAAUACUGCUAUACUAGGGGGCGGGAGAGGUCUGAGGUACUCCAGGGGUAGGGGUGAAAUCCUAUAAUCCUUGGGGGACCACCAGUGGCGAAGGCGUCAGACUGGAACGCGCUCGACGGUGAGGGACGAAAGCCAGGGGAGCGAACCGGAUUAGAUACCCGGGUAGUCC